AUUGAACGCUGGCGGCAUGCCUAACACAUGCAAGUCGAGCGAGCGGCGGACGGGUGAGCAAUGUAUGGGGACUGCCCGACAUAGGGGUCUAACUACUGGAAACGGUGGCUAAUACCGCUUACUAUCGGAUAACCCAUAUGGGAUUAGCUAGUGGGUGGGGUAAAGGCUCACCUAGGCGACGAUCUCUAGCUGGUCUGAGAGGGUGAUCGGCCACACUGGGACGGAGACACGGCCCAGACUCCUACGGAGGCAGCAGUGGGGAAUAUUGCACAAUGGGCGAAAGCCUGAUGCAGCCAUGCCGCGUGUAUGAAGAAGGCCUUAGGGUUGUAAAGUACUUUCAGCGGGGAGGCGUUACCCGCAGAAGAAGCACCGGCUAACUCCGUGCCAGCAGCCGCGGUAAUUC
RNAcentral lists this ribosomal RNA (403 nucleotides) under uncultured bacterium. RNAcentral describes it as "partial 16S ribosomal RNA". It matches the Rfam family "Bacterial small subunit ribosomal RNA", at positions 30 to 526 of the family's 1533-position model. The record is from RNAcentral.